This 465-nucleotide ribosomal RNA is filed under the name Vreelandella stevensii. RNAcentral's name for it is "partial 16S ribosomal RNA". It matches the Rfam family "Bacterial small subunit ribosomal RNA", at positions 338 to 795 of the family's 1533-position model. The record is from RNAcentral. Lineage: Bacteria; Pseudomonadati; Pseudomonadota; Gammaproteobacteria; Oceanospirillales; Halomonadaceae.
CCUACGGGUGGUAGCAGUGGGGAAUAUUGGACAAUGGGCGAAAGCCUGAUCCAGCCAUGCCGCGUGUGUGAAGAAGGCCUUCGGGUUGUAAAGCACUUUCAGUGGGGAAGAAAGCCUUGGGGCUAAUACCCUCGAGGAAGGACAUCACCCACAGAAGAAGCACCGGCUAACUCCGUGCCAGCAGCCGCGGUAAUACGGAGGGUGCGAGCGUUAAUCGGAAUUACUGGGCGUAAAGCGCGCGUAGGCGGUCUGAUAAGCCGGUUGUGAAAGCCCCGGGCUCAACCUGGGAACGGCAUCCGGAACUGUCAGGCUAGAGUGCAGGAGAGGAAGGUAGAAUUCCCGGUGUAGCGGUGAAAUGCGUAGAGAUCGGGAGGAAUACCAGUGGCGAAGGCGGCCUUCUGGACUGACACUGACGCUGAGGUGCGAAAGCGUGGGUAGCAAACAGGAUUAGAUACCCCAGUAGUC